RNAcentral lists this ribosomal RNA (474 nucleotides) under uncultured bacterium. Its description in RNAcentral is "bacterial SSU rRNA". It matches the Rfam family "Bacterial small subunit ribosomal RNA", at positions 427 to 916 of the family's 1533-position model. The record is from RNAcentral.
AAACUCCUUUUCUGUGGGACGAGAGAGGACGGUACCACAGGAAUAAGUCACGGCUAACUACGUGCCAGCAGCCGCGGUAAUACGUAGGUGGCGAGCGUUAUCCGGAAUUACUGGGCGUAAAGCGUACGCAGGCGGCUUGUUUAGUCUGACGUGAAAUCUCCCGGCUUAACUGGGAGAGGUCGUUGGAAACUGACAAGCUUGAGGCAAUGAGAGGGGCAUGGAAUUCCCGGUGUAGUGGUGGAAUGCGUAGAUAUCGGGAGGAACACCAGAGGCGAAAGCGAUGCCCUGGCAUUGACCUGACGCUCAUGUACGAAAGCGUGGGGAGCAAACGGGAUUAGAUACCCCGGUAGUCCACGCCGUAAACGAUGAGUACUGGGUGUAGGCGGGGUUAGAGCCGUCUGUGCCGAAGCAAACGCGUUAAGUACUCCGCCUGGGGAGUACGGCCGCAAGGCUAAAACUCAAAGGAAUUGACGG